Molecule: transfer RNA, 77 nt
Filed under: Formivibrio sp.
Lineage: Bacteria; Pseudomonadati; Pseudomonadota; Betaproteobacteria; Neisseriales; Chitinibacteraceae
Description: tRNA-Pro
Rfam family: tRNA
About the family: Transfer RNA (tRNA) molecules are approximately 80 nucleotides in length. Their secondary structure includes four short double-helical elements and three loops (D, anti-codon, and T loops).
Source: RNAcentral
CGGAGUAUGGCGCAGCCUGGUAGCGCACUUGCAUGGGGUGCAAGGGGUCCCGAGUUCGAAUCCCGGUACUCCGACCA